This 465-nucleotide ribosomal RNA is filed under the name uncultured bacterium. RNAcentral describes it as "bacterial SSU rRNA". It matches the Rfam family "Bacterial small subunit ribosomal RNA", at positions 330 to 792 of the family's 1533-position model. The record is from RNAcentral.
GCCAGACUCCUACGGGAGGCAGCAGUGAGGAGUAUUGGUCAAUGGCCGAGAGGCUGAACCAGCCAAGUCGCGUGAGGGAAGACUGCCCUAUGGGUUGUAAACCUCUUUUGUCAGGGAGCAACGCCGGCUACGUGUAGCCGGACUGAGAGUACCUGAAGAAAAAGCAUCGGCUAACUCCGUGCCAGCAGCCGCGGUAAUACGGAGGAUGCGAGCGUUAUCCGGAUUUAUUGGGUUUAAAGGGUGCGUAGGCGGAAUGCCAAGUCAGCGGUAAAAUCGGGGGGCUCAACCUCGCUCCGCCGUUGAAACUGGCGUUCUUGAGUGGGCGAGAAGUAUGCGGAAUGCGUGGUGUAGCGGUGAAAUGCAUAGAUAUUGCGCAGAACUCCGAUUGCGAAGGCAGCCUACCGGCUCCUGUCUGACGCUGAGGCACGAAAGCGUGGGUAUCGAACAGGAUUAGAUACCCCUGUA